Molecule: ribosomal RNA, 253 nt
Filed under: uncultured bacterium
Lineage: Bacteria
Description: partial 16S ribosomal RNA
Rfam family: Bacterial small subunit ribosomal RNA
Source: RNAcentral
UACGAAGGGGGCUAGCGUUGUUCGGAAUUACUGGCGUAAAGCGCGCGCAGGCGGUCCUUCAAGUCAGAGGUGAAAGCCCAGAGCUCAACUCUGGAACGGCCUUUGAAACUAGAGGACUUGGGUACGGGAGAGGUGAGUGGAAUUCCGAGUGUAGAGGUGAAAUUCGUAGAUAUUCGGAAGAACACCAGUGGCGAAGGCGGCUCACUGGCCCGUUACCGACGCUCAGGCGCGACAGCGUGGGGAGCAAACAGGG